Molecule: long non-coding RNA, 4125 nt
Organism: Belonocnema kinseyi
Lineage: Eukaryota; Metazoa; Arthropoda; Insecta; Hymenoptera; Cynipidae
Exons: 4
Source: RefSeq, a predicted model, not a curated record
CGAAACAGACGCUGCGAGUCUAAGGAGCCAAUGAAACUCUAGAGUGAAUUCAAGAAGUGCAUACCUUUCCACACGCGAGUGACAUACCCUGAAAUUGUUAAAUGUAAUUUUUCGGAUUUAACAACUGAAUUGUGAAUCUUUUAUCUCAUGAAAGUUAUUUUAAAAUACAAAGAAAAAGCAGAAAAAUUAGUGUUUUAUUGAUUCAACGUGAAAGACAGAGGAUCGAUACCAAAAGUUUUUGGCAAAGAACCUCAAGAAAGUGGGUUGCAAACUAAAAUACAAAGUAAAGACGAUUAUAUUACAGUGCAAUCUGGGUCUCAAAAGCUAGAGCCUCGUGAUUUUUAACGACCGAGUGGAUUAAGUUGUGCAGGUUUUUAUUCUAAGGUACAAAAGUAGCAACCUGAUAAUCGAGUUUUGGGUGAAAACGUCAAAGAACAAAGCCACUGUUCCUUUGUUUCGGAGGAGAAAACUUUUCAGGAGAAAGAAUUCGCCGCUAUUCAGCUUGACUACACUGAAGAGAAGCAAUUAUUUGGAAAAUCACAGUGCUGCAAUUUGAUUUAAGCGCAGAGGUUUUCUUCGAUAGAUAAAGCUUGAAAACUGUCUGACCAACUCCAGUUCCAGUGCCUCAACUCUAAAAUUCAUUCAAUCUUUUCACUAUCCUUAUAUUCUUGUCUCUGGAAAUAGUAGAAUGUCAUCACCUAUCAAACAGGAAAUCCGGAUUACUGUCUUCUUCAACAACGGUGUUGUGGUCAUUUACGUUUGAAUCGCCAGCUGAUUCGCCGUUUACGUCACAGACAAAAAGAAGAAGCCAUUGGAAUCAAUCGUGCACUGACGUUCAUUCAGUUAAAUCGCGGAUACUCUUCUCAUUGGCACGAUACCAGAAGGUGAAGAUCUUCCAUACAAAUCAAAUCUGAGUAAGAGUCUGUCAAAACUGAUUUAAAAUAUUGACUCGAAUUUUUGACCGGUCAGAUCCAGAUAAACUAACGGCUCUCAUCGUUGAUGUAUUGACAUCAGAAGUUCCAGAAGACUUCCUCAUUUUUGUAUCCGUUGAAGAAAGCUUUGAUAUCAGAAAAACUUUCAGCCUUGGUCUCUGUCGUCACUUUAGAAAUUGACAGAAUGGCCUACUAGGUCAUUGCACUUGUUGUACAACGUACAGAUACAGAAGCCGAUCAACCGUGAACGAUCGGCCAACCGCGAAACGUGGAUUAAAAAAGCCGAACGUAGUUGGUGAACAACGGUCGAGAGGAGAAAGUGAGAUCGCCGAGAGUAAAUUCUGGACGCAGAGCUCUGGAAACUGAACCAUCCUUUCGCGGUUUCUUCCUCCAGAUAACGGUUUUCAAGAUUCUUAAGAAAGCCGUCUAAAAAUCCCUCCCAUGGCCUUCUUUCGAAAAGAAAUGCCUUUGGUGCAGAAAACAAGAGGAGUCAUUAUUUAAGAGAGUAAACUUCUGUUUUUUAAUCUCGCCGACUGGCUUUUCUUUCUCGAGUUAAUUGCCAAUCAGUCGGUGAACGUCUCAAACGGUAUCAAUUGAGGCCAAUGUUGCGUGGACUCAGCAUCCCUGCUCAUUGCAGUCUGUACACUCUUGCUUCUUCCUCGUGUGUCUCGAAGAAGACAAAAGGGAUAGAUCUCUAGAACAGAAUUACUUUCCAAGGUACCAUUCUUAGCUGAAAGUGCAACAGUUCCAAGAGCAAGACUGAGAGCUUCUACUCUUGAUUUAUUUUUACGAUUAUUGGCCAUUUGUUUGUCUUCGUUUCCAUAUAUUGACGCUUUAAUUGCUCGACAAAGCAAUUAAAGUCGGCUGCUUUGAAAGACUUAUUCGAGGCUGUUGCUGCAAGCAAAGAUUCAAAAUGACUUGCCCCCAGCCACCCAAUCACCAAACCGCCCUGAUUCCCGUACCGACUGUCUCUUUCUAUUCUCGAAACUUCCACGCGCCAAUUUUCAAGACAGUUACAAUCACCAAUACCGUAUCUGUGGUAUUUUUGCCGACGCCCUCAAAGAUCGUGCCAAAAUAGCGACCGAGCUUCAUGCACUAAUUGUACAACAAAGCGAGCUUGCCGAUUCAUCGCUGAAAAAUGUUUGAUUAUAUUUUCCAAUGAAUUCCUCGUGCAUUUUCUCAGGGAUCUCGAGGACGUUUCAUAGACGUCGUAAAACACUGCCGUAAAAAUUACAAUCAUAGCCAUACUAUGGAAAUACUUCCCGGUUGCGUAAGCGAAAUAAGACGCUCUAUGCUUUCGUAUGUGGAUGAUUUGAAUCUUCAAGUCAAGCAUCGCGGAACUUAAAACAUAAGGUUAAUUAUAAUUUUAUUUUAAGUACGUCUGUUUGGGAAUCAAUGUAGUUAAAAGGCAUAUUUUUAUUGUAGAGUUUUCUUAAAAGCCUUUUUAAAAGUGUUUCUAUAAUCAUCACAAUACUUUUUAUGGUAUGUCAUCAAUUAAAUAUUCAGAAGAUUAUUAUGUAAUUUCGUUUUCUUCUGAAAAGUAUGUUUUUCUUACAUACCCUUGGCAAUUUUAUUAUACCAUAUUUAAGACCAAAUUUAUUAACUUUCGAUGUUAAUUUGACAUUGAUAUAGAAACAAUAUUCACCAGUAAAAUUCUGUACAUUUGUGUUCUGAGAAGAAUAUCCAUGGAAAUCAAUAAUUAGUAUCAUUAAUAUCCCACAAGUAAAAAGUCUUUGUGAUCUCAGUCUAAGUGUUUUUUACGAUAAUAAAUUAGUAAUCAACGACAUUUAUUCAUUUUUCUCUCCCUUGUCAUUUUCCGCGUAUUGUGUAUGUGUGAGAAUAACAUGCAAUUAGCAUCAAGACUGAAGAUGAAUGUCGAUAUCGUCAUCCUGGUUGCAUAAUCUUAAUUAGUUGUUUUUUAAGGGGCAAUCGACAUUCUAAUCAGGGGAGUUGCUAUACCUUCGUUACACAGAUUUUUAUGAAAUAGAAAUGUGAUGAAAAAUGUAAAAAAAAUGUUUUGAUUAAUACACAUUUUAGACUUUGAAAACAAUUUCGAAAUCGGUACAAUGCGAAAAAGUAGCGCUUUGAGAUCCUAAAGUAGUAUAAUUAGUUUGGCGUGGAUAGACAUUUCUUGUUCUUAAAGUUUUUAAUUUUUUUUCCAAUUUAUUUACAUUCCUGGAGAAAAAAUCAGUUUUUCCAAUUUUUUUCUGAUUUUAAUUAACGAAUUUGUAAGAGAUAGGUAAAUCGGGGAAAACAUUGUACAGGUACCUGCAAACUUUUCAGUAAAAAAAUGCACUAUGAAAAAAAUCACCUCGACCAAGGUAUCCAAAUUGGAAAUACAGCUAAUUUUUACCCCCCCCCCCCUUUUUUUUUAAAGUGAAAAUAUAUUUUCUGCGUCCUGUCGAUUUUUAAAAGAAUUGUUCUAUGAUGAGAAAGGCAACACAUGCACAGAGAAAUUUUCAACCCACAAGUUAUGAAGAUAAUUUAAAAUUAAACUUUUAAAAAUUCGCUCGAUUGCCAAUUUCAAUUCCUGGAGCUUGGAAAUUUUUUUUCGAAUGCAUUUUUGUCACUGAAAAGUGUUCAAGCAUCCGAAAAAAUUUCUGUGUACACAAGUGUUUGCAAUUGUUUCAGGAAAUAGGGGUGAAAUAAAUUGGAAUUAUUUUUUAGAAAAUAAAUGAUUAAAAUCCACGAAAAAUUGGGAAGGGUUUUUUAUCUCCAGGAAUGUAAUAAAAUACUAAAACGCGAAAAAGUUUUAAACGUCAGCAUACAAGAAUUUUUCUAACCGAUUUUAUCGAUUUUUUCGAUUUUUCUUUUUUAUAUAUCCUAGUACGCUAUAUUGGUAUGCUUAUUAUAUGAAAAACAAAAUAUUUGCUUUAUCUAGUCGAAAAUGUGAAUGAUUUAACAUUUUUUUGAAUCAACUAAAAUUUGUUUACCCCAACCAAAUUUUCGUGAUAUGAAAGAAAAAAAUUCGUGGGUGUAAGAACAAUUUUUUCUGAGUUUUUUCUGGCUCCCCAUAAAAGGAUUAACACCGAAUUUAAUAUCACCGUCCGAUCCCUUUUUUAAAAAAGUAAAUUUUUGUGUUUCGUAAAGCAUGAGAUGUGGGAUUUGCAUGCAAAAUUUUUGGUAAAAAGUUGCUUCAAAGUUAUUAUUAUUUUAAAUAGAAAGAAAUUAAUUUAAUUUUAUAGUUUUCAAC